UCCUACGGGAGGCAGCAGUGGGGAAUAUUGCACAAUGGGCGCAAGCCUGAUGCAGCGACGCCGCGUGAGGGAUGACGGCCUUCGGGUUGUAAACCUCUGUUAGCAUCGAAGAAGCGAAAGUGACGGUAGGUGCAGAGAAAGCGCCGGCUAACUACGUGCCAGCAGCCGCGGUAAUACGUAGGGCGCGAGCGUUGUCCGGAAUUAUUGGGCGUAAAGAGCUUGUAGGCGGUUGGUCGCGUCUGCUGUGAAAGGCUGGGGCUUAACCCUGGUUUUGCAGUGGGUACGGGCUAACUAGAGUGCAGUAGGGGAGACUGGAAUUCCUGGUGUAGCGGUGGAAUGCGCAGAUAUCAGGAGGAACACCGAUGGCGAAGGCAGGUCUCUGGGCUGUAACUGACGCUGAGAAGCGAAAGCAUGGGGAGCGAACAGGAUUAGAUACCCUGGUAGUCC
This 447-nucleotide ribosomal RNA is filed under the name Rothia dentocariosa. Its description in RNAcentral is "bacterial SSU rRNA". It matches the Rfam family "Bacterial small subunit ribosomal RNA", at positions 337 to 796 of the family's 1533-position model. The record is from RNAcentral. Lineage: Bacteria; Bacillati; Actinomycetota; Actinomycetes; Micrococcales; Micrococcaceae.